GAGAAUGCGAUAUGCAAUGUGAAUUGCAGAACUACGAAUCAUUUGAUCUUUGAACGCAAAUGGCGCUGAUUCAUAUCAGCAUACUUGUUUCAGUGUGCCUAACCAAAUCUAAACAAAAUGUAAGAGAAAACUCUCUUAUGAAAUAAAUGCUCCAAGUAGCAGUCACAUUUCUAUGUGAGCUAUUGUGGAAGAAUAUUUGUCUUAUUCGCACCUGAAAUCAAGUAAGAUCACCCGCUGGACUUAA
This 244-nucleotide unclassified non-coding RNA is filed under the name uncultured fungus. RNAcentral's name for it is "sequence contains ITS1". The stretch from base 1 to 98 matches the Rfam family "5.8S ribosomal RNA", at positions 49 to 154 of the family's 154-position model. The record is from RNAcentral. Lineage: Eukaryota; Fungi.